This 492-nucleotide ribosomal RNA is filed under the name uncultured bacterium. RNAcentral describes it as "partial 16S ribosomal RNA". It matches the Rfam family "Bacterial small subunit ribosomal RNA", at positions 29 to 507 of the family's 1533-position model. The record is from RNAcentral.
AGUGAACGCUGGCGGUAGGCCUAACACAUGCAAGUCGAACGGCAGCACAGUAAGAGCUUGCUCUUACGGGUGGCGAGUGGCGGACGGGUGAGGAAUACAUCGGAAUCUACUUUUUCGUGGGGGAUAACGUAGGGAAACUUACGCUAAUACCGCAUACGACCUACGGGUGAAAGCAGGGGAUCUUCGGACCUUGCGCGAUUGAAUGAGCCGAGGUCGGAUUAGCUAGUUGGCGGGGUAAAGGCCAACCAAGGCAACGAUCCGUAGCUGGUCUGAGAGAAUGAUCGGCUCCAUAGGGUCAGAGACACGCUCCACACUACAACGGUAGGCAGCAGUGGGCAAUAUUGGACAAUGGGCGCAAGUCUGAUCCAGACAUACCGCGUGGUUAAACGAGGCCUUCGGGUUGUAAAGCCCUUUUUUUGGGAAAGAAAAGCCGCAGGUUAAUACCCCGCUGUUCUGACGGUACCCAAAGAAUAAGCACCGGCUAACUUCGUG